Molecule: long non-coding RNA, 929 nt
Organism: Amphiprion ocellaris (clown anemonefish)
Lineage: Eukaryota; Metazoa; Chordata; Actinopteri; Pomacentridae
Exons: 3
Source: RefSeq, a predicted model, not a curated record
CUGUAUAUAAUGGUAUUUACGCAGCUAAUCAACAUCAGGCGUCCUUAUGUGCAGCCACCGUGGUUGUCAUAGAUAUGAAUGAGUAGAUAGGACACGCCCCUUUGAGCUGCGUGCUACAGCGAGGCUAAGCUAGUGGGGACAAGGUUUCAGUGCAUUCUGUUGAUGUAGACGGCGUGAAAACGGAAACAACAAGUAUGCCGUCUCACUGUGCUGCAUACAGUUACACACUACGUCGUACGAUUGAGACAAGGAAACUUGGAAUGACUUUUCAUAGGUUUCCCAGAGACUAUGGGUUGAGGAGGAAUUGGAAGUUUGUCGGCUUAGACCUGGUGUCAUUCCAUCAGUGUUAAACUUCCCGGCUCAUCUUUGAAGAGUACGUGCCAGAAAGACCACGACCAAGCAGCCUUGAGAUCUUAGGCAGCGUCUCCCUCAGGUCCCUCUCUAUCUCCACACAUCCACCAACCACUGGAACACAUCUCCAAAGUUCUGCUGGACCAGCUCAGCUUCCCCUCAGAAGAAGUGGCGCCACCUGCCAGAUGAAGGAGCCUUUUGAGAGGCAGCUGGCAUCGUGAUUGGACUGUACUUUGGUCUGUUCCAAUCCAGCUUCAGCUCCAGAGACGGCAGGCGGGACGAGUCAACGGAGGCCGGGUGGACGAAGACAUGCAGCUGAGUACAAUCCAGAAAACAACAGAGGAGGAGUGCAGGGGCCCAGAGCCAGAACAACCAGAGUAGUCUUAGAAAACAUCAUAAUAUAGCCUCUGGUAUGAAAAAAACACCAUCAUAUACAUCGUAUAUUGUACAAAUAACAAGUCAAAGCAAAGAGACAUACAUUGUAGAAUUGUAGUAAUUGUGGGCUGACUGAUUUACUGAUUAUCAGUAUUUUAUUUUUUACUGAUUUAUGGUAAUAAAUAAAUUUAAAAAUGGCGCUA